CAACUUUCAGCAACGGAUCUCUUGGUUCUCGCAUCGAUGAAGAACGUAGCAAAUUGCGAUAAGUCGUGUGAAUUGCACAGUGAAUCAUUGAAUCUUUGAACGCAUCUUGCACCCAUCGGUAUUCCGGUGGGGACGCCUGUUUCAGUGCUAUU
Molecule: ribosomal RNA, 152 nt
Filed under: Lentamyces zychae
Lineage: Eukaryota; Fungi; Mucoromycota; Mucoromycetes; Mucorales; Lentamycetaceae
Description: 5.8S ribosomal RNA
Rfam family: 5.8S ribosomal RNA
About the family: 5.8S ribosomal RNA (5.8S rRNA) is a component of the large subunit of the eukaryotic ribosome. It is transcribed by RNA polymerase I as part of the 45S precursor that also contains 18S and 28S rRNA.
Source: RNAcentral